UUUCACUCUGUGAGCUAUUCAGAGUGAGCAGCGCUCGGAACGCUACGCACUCCACAUAUUGGAGAUGCGUGCGCCCCAAUGAGCUAUAACAUUGUUAUUUUCUUUAUUUUCUGUGCCGCAAAUAGAUUCCAGUUUGGUGCGAGCGGCACGCCAUUUCCGGUGUGACGCGCGUAUCGCGUCACUUCCGGUAUGACGCGUGCGUGUCAACCGGAGCUCAGAAUCAGGAAGUAACCCAGCAGGAAACUAUCACUUCAUUAACCAGGAUAUAAAAACGGACUUUUGGACUUUUCACCACACUUCUGAAGAAGCCUGUUUAGGCGAAACGCGUUAAGUGGGACUUUUAUACAUAUAUUUUUUAUCCAAU
This is a non-coding RNA of Pelobates cultripes (western spadefoot toad), 364 nucleotides long. The record is from the annotation of a GenBank genome assembly. Lineage: Eukaryota; Metazoa; Chordata; Amphibia; Anura; Pelobatidae.